AGUGAACGCUGGCGGUAGGCCUAACACAUGCAAGUCGAACGGCAGCACAGGAGAGCUUGCUCUCUGGGUGGCGAGUGGCGGACGGGUGAGGAAUACAUCGGAAUCUACUCUGUCGUGGGGGAUAACGUAGGGAAACUUACGCUAAUACCGCAUACGACCUACGGGUGAAAGCAGGGGACCUUCGGGCCUUGCGCGAUUGAAUGAGCCGAUGUCGGAGUAGCUAGUUGGCGGGGUAAAGGCCCACCAAGGCGACGAUCCGUAGCUGGUCUGAGAGGAUGAUCAGCCACACUGGAACUGAGACACGGCCCAGACUCCUACGGGAGGCAGCAGUGGGGAAUAUUGGACAAUGGGCGCAAGCCUGAUCCAGCCAUACCGCGUGGGUGAAGAAGGCCUUCGGGUUGUAAAGCCCUUUUGUUGGGAAAGGAAUCCAGCUGGCUAAUACCCGGUUGGGAUGACGGUACCCAAAGAGUAAGCACCGGCUAACUUCGUGCCAGCCGCCGCCGUAA
RNAcentral lists this ribosomal RNA (506 nucleotides) under uncultured bacterium. RNAcentral's name for it is "partial 16S ribosomal RNA". It matches the Rfam family "Bacterial small subunit ribosomal RNA", at positions 29 to 523 of the family's 1533-position model. The record is from RNAcentral.